UGUGGUGGCGAUAGCACAAAGGCUACACCUGUUCCCAUUCCGAACACAGAAGUUAAGCUUUGUAACGCCGAUAGUAGUUAGGGGA
Molecule: ribosomal RNA, 85 nt
Filed under: Ligilactobacillus murinus
Lineage: Bacteria; Bacillati; Bacillota; Bacilli; Lactobacillales; Lactobacillaceae
Source: RNAcentral